UUGACAGCCCUGGAGACUGAAAUCCUCUAUUUAUCCACAGGACAGGUACAGCACAGGCAGCGACAGUGCGAGCUUUCCCCACACCACCCCGUCCAUGUGCCUCAACCCUGACCUGGAGGGACCACCUCUAGAGGUGAGAGGGGAUGUUCAGUCUCCAAGGCUCACUCAAUCCUUCUGCCUCA
Cricetulus griseus (Chinese hamster) is the source of this 182-nucleotide unclassified non-coding RNA. Ensembl annotates it as predicted gene, 27406. The record is from Ensembl. NCBI's taxonomy places the organism in Eukaryota, Metazoa, Chordata, Mammalia, Rodentia, Cricetidae.